This 482-nucleotide ribosomal RNA is filed under the name uncultured bacterium. RNAcentral describes it as "bacterial SSU rRNA". It matches the Rfam family "Bacterial small subunit ribosomal RNA", at positions 28 to 507 of the family's 1533-position model. The record is from RNAcentral.
GAUGAACGCUGGCGGCAUGCCUUACACAUGCAAGUCGAACGGUAACGCGGGGCAACCUGGCGACGAGUGGCGAACGGGUGAGUAAUAUAUCGGAACGUGCCCAGUAGUGGGGGAUAGCCCGGCGAAAGCCGGAUUAAUACCGCAUACGACCUAAGGGUGAAAGCGGGGGAUCGCAAGACCUCGCGCUAUUGGAGCGGCCGAUAUCAGAUUAGGUAGUUGGUGGGGUAAAGGCCUACCAAGCCGACGAUCUGUAGCUGGUCUGAGAGGACGACCAGCCACACUGGGACUGAGACACGGCCCAGACUCCUACGGGAGGCAGCAGUGGGGAAUUUUGGACAAUGGGCGCAAGCCUGAUCCAGCCAUGCCGCGUGCGGGAAGAAGGCCUUCGGGUUGUAAACCGCUUUUGUCAGGGAAGAAAUCUUCUGGGUUAAUACCUCGGGAGGAUGACGGUACCUGAAGAAUAAGCACCGGCUAACUACGUG